RNAcentral lists this transfer RNA (82 nucleotides) under Methylobacterium gossipiicola. RNAcentral's name for it is "tRNA_Leu_CAA". It matches the Rfam family "tRNA". Rfam says of the family: Transfer RNA (tRNA) molecules are approximately 80 nucleotides in length. Their secondary structure includes four short double-helical elements and three loops (D, anti-codon, and T loops). The record is from RNAcentral. Lineage: Bacteria; Pseudomonadati; Pseudomonadota; Alphaproteobacteria; Hyphomicrobiales; Methylobacteriaceae.
GCCCGCGUGGUGAAAUUGGUAGACGCGUUCGACUCAAAAUCGAAUGCCGCAAGGCGUGGGGGUUCAAGUCCCUCCGCGGGCA